AUGAGAAUCAGGCAUGGUUUAUUGCAUGCCCUGCCCUGGACUCUCUCAGGACAAUUCUGCACAGCAGCCAGAACAAUUUGUCUCCUGUGCUGCUCCUGCUUGUUUCGCAAAGUGACUCCAGGAAUUCCUGUCUGGAACGCAGUGGGUUGGCAAUGGGGCCAGUUGCUGCUCAGCCUUAGCUCUGUCUGAUCCUUCCCCUGUUUGCUGCCCUUCCAAUCCAUGCAGAUGGCCUCCAUAUGGGGAAAAACUGGAGAUGUAAAUAAAUUGUUCUUUGAAUAAAUUGUUCUUUGAAGAUGUAGCCAUCUCCUCAGAUCUAAAGGCCGGCAGAGUCCAAUCAUUUAGCAGGAGAGGAAAGCUUCUCAUCUCUAAUGGACCUCUGUGCAAAUCGCCCUUAUGUCCCCAGAGAUCACCCAACAGAGGUACUGAACACAGAAAAAUCGGGAGGAGAUGUAC
Long non-coding RNA from Ahaetulla prasina, 453 nucleotides. RefSeq lists it as uncharacterized. Lineage: Eukaryota; Metazoa; Chordata; Lepidosauria; Squamata; Colubridae. The record is from RefSeq and is a predicted model, not a curated record. The transcript has 3 exons.